CCUACGGGAGGCAGCAGUGGGGAAUAUUGGGCAAUGGAGGAAACUCUGACCCAGCAACGCCGCGUGAAUGAUGAAGGUCUUCGGAUUGUAAAGUUCUUUUCUAAGGGAAGAAGAAAGUGACGGUACCUUAGGAAUAAGCCUCGGCUAACUACGGGCCAGCAGCCGCGGUAAUACGUAGGAGGCAAGCGUUAUCCGGGAUGACUGGGCGUAAAGGGUGCGUAGGUGGUUUGAUAAGUUGGAAGCGUAACUCCGAGGCUCAACCUCGGCACUACUACCAAAACUGUCGGACUUGAGUGCAGGUUGGGCAACUGAGAUUCCUAGUGUAGCGGUGGAAUGCGUAGGUAUUAGGGAGGACACCAGUGGCGAAGGCGAGUUGCUGGACUGUAACUGACACUGAGGCACGAAAGCGUGGGGAGCAAACAGGAUUAGAUACCCGAGUAGUC
RNAcentral lists this ribosomal RNA (443 nucleotides) under uncultured bacterium. Its description in RNAcentral is "partial 16S ribosomal RNA". It matches the Rfam family "Bacterial small subunit ribosomal RNA", at positions 338 to 795 of the family's 1533-position model. The record is from RNAcentral.